GACGAACGCUGGCGGCGUGCUUAACACAUGCAAGUCGAACGGAAAGGCCCUGCUUUGGUGGGGUGCUCGAGUGGCGAACGGGUGAGUAACACGUGAGUAACCUGCCCUUGACUUUGGGAUAACUUCAGGAAACUGGGGCUAAUACCGGAUAGGAGCUCCUUCUGCAUGGUGGGGUUUGGAAAGUUUCGGCGGUUGGUGAUGGACUCGCGGCUUAUCAGCUUGGUGGUGGGGUAGUGGCUUACCAAGGCUUUGACGGGUAGCCGUCCUGAGAGGGUGACCGGCCACAUUGGGACUGAGAUACGGCCCAGACUCCUACGGGAGGCAGCAGUGGGGAAUAUUGCACAAUGGGCGGAAGCCAGAUGCAGCAACGCCGCGUGCGGGAUGACGGCCUUCGGGUUGUAAACCGCUUUCGCCUGUGACGAAGCGUGAGUGACGGUAAUGGGUAAAGAAGCACCGGCUAACUACGUG
Molecule: ribosomal RNA, 468 nt
Filed under: uncultured bacterium
Lineage: Bacteria
Description: partial 16S ribosomal RNA
Rfam family: Bacterial small subunit ribosomal RNA
Source: RNAcentral